RNAcentral lists this unclassified non-coding RNA (237 nucleotides) under Glomus sp. Its description in RNAcentral is "partial contains 5.8S ribosomal RNA and internal transcribed spacer 2". The stretch from base 1 to 71 matches the Rfam family "5.8S ribosomal RNA", at positions 84 to 154 of the family's 154-position model. Lineage: Eukaryota; Fungi; Glomeromycota; Glomeromycetes; Glomerales; Glomeraceae. The record is from RNAcentral.
GUGAAUCAUCGAAUCUUUGAACGCAAAUUGCACUCUCUGGGAUUCCGGAGAGUAUGCCUGUUUGAGGGUCAGUUUAUAUAAAAAUCGGUGUGGUUGCUGCCUUCCGUGGUGGCUCUCCGGAUUUAGGUCGUCUUGCCUUCGGUUAAGUGACCUAAAAGUUUGCUUGUUUUUUUUCGAACGUAUUUAAAUGUUUUUUCGUACGUUUGCGAUAUAGAAUACUAGGUGUGGUCAUCCUCU